Molecule: ribosomal RNA, 254 nt
Filed under: uncultured bacterium
Lineage: Bacteria
Description: partial 16S ribosomal RNA
Rfam family: Bacterial small subunit ribosomal RNA
Source: RNAcentral
CACGUAGGGUGCGAGCGUUGUCCGGAAUUAUUGGGCGUAAAGAGCUCGUAGGCGGUGUGUCGCGUCGGCCGUGAAAACCUGCAGCUUAACUGUGGGCUUGCGGUCGAUACGGGCAUCACUGGAGUUCGGCAGGGGAGACUGGAAUUCCUGGUGUAGCGGUGAAAUGCGCAGAUAUCAGGAGGAACACCGGUGGCGAAGGCGGGUCUCUGGGCCGAUACUGACGCUGAGGAGCGAAAGCAUGGGUAGCGAACAGG